CAGGACGAACGCUGGCGGCACGCUUAACACAUGCAAGUCGAACGAGCGAAAGGUGCUUGCACCUCUAGCUAGUGGCGGACGGGUGAGUAACACGUGAGCAAUCUGCCUUUCGGUGGGGGAUACCAAUUGGAAACGAUUGUUAAUACCCCAUAACAUAACGAAGCCGCAUGACUUUGUUAUCAAAGAUUUAUUGCCGGAAGAUGAGCUCGCGUCUGAUUAGGUAGUUGGUGAGGUAACGGCUCACCAAGCCGACGAUCAGUAGCCGGACUGAGAGGUUGAACGGCCACAUUGGGACUGAGACACGGCCCAGACUCCUACGGGAGGCAGCAGUGGGGAAUAUUGCACAAUGGGCGAAAGCCUGACGCAGCGAUGCCGCGUGAGGGAAGAAGGUUUUAGGAUUGUAAACCUCUGUCUUUGGGGACGAUAAUGACGGUACCCAAGGAGGAAGCUCCGGCUAACUACGUGCCAGCCGCUGC
This 476-nucleotide ribosomal RNA is filed under the name uncultured bacterium. RNAcentral's name for it is "bacterial SSU rRNA". It matches the Rfam family "Bacterial small subunit ribosomal RNA", at positions 25 to 518 of the family's 1533-position model. The record is from RNAcentral.